RNAcentral lists this ribosomal RNA (261 nucleotides) under uncultured bacterium. RNAcentral's name for it is "partial 16S ribosomal RNA". It matches the Rfam family "Bacterial small subunit ribosomal RNA", at positions 98 to 353 of the family's 1533-position model. The record is from RNAcentral.
CGGAACGGGUGAGUAACGCGUGAGGAACCUGCCUCAAAGAGGGGGACGAACAGUUGGAAACGACUGCUAAUAACCGCAUAAGCCCACGGUGCCGCAUGGCACAGAGGGAAAAGGAGCAAUCCGCUUUGAGAUGGCCUCGCGUCCGAUUAGCUAGUUGGUGAGGUAACGGCUCACCAAGACCGCGAUCGGUAGCCGGACUGAGAGGUUGAACGGCCACAUUGGGACUGAGACACGGCCCAGACUCCUACGGGAGGCAGCAUG